ACGCACGCUGGCGGCGUGCUUCACCCCUGCCAGUCGCACGGAAAGGCCCUGCUUGCAGGGUGCUCGAGUGGCGAACGGGUGAGUAACACGUGGGUGAUCUGCCCCUUACUUUGGGAUAAGCCUGGGAAACUGGGUCUAAUACUGGAUAGGACCAUGCUGUAGGUGGUGUGGUGGAAAGAUUAGUUUCGGUAAGGGAUGAGCUCGCGGCCUAUCAGCUUGUUGGUGGGGUAAUGGCCUACCAAGGCGUCGACGGGUAGCCGGCCUGAGAGGGUGGACGGCCACAUUGGGACUGAGAUACGGCCCAGACUCCUACGGGAGGCAGCAGUGGGGAAUAUUGCACAAUGGGCGCAAGCCUGAUGCAGCGACGCCGCGUGGGGGAUGACGGCCUUCGGGUUGUAAACUCCUUUCAGCCAUGACGAAGCCCUUGUGGUGACGGUAGUGGUAGAAGAAGCACCGGCUAACUACGUG
Molecule: ribosomal RNA, 468 nt
Filed under: uncultured bacterium
Lineage: Bacteria
Description: partial 16S ribosomal RNA
Rfam family: Bacterial small subunit ribosomal RNA
Source: RNAcentral